CGAACGCUGGCGGCGUGCUUAACACAUGCAAGUCGAACGAGACGGAUUUAGAAGCUUGCUUUAUUGAGUCGAGUGGCAAACGGGUGAGUAACGCGUAGACAACCUGCCGCAAAGAUGGGGACAACAGUCCGAAAGGACUGCUAAUACCGAAUGUUGUAUCUCCACCGCAUGGAAGAGAUAUUAAAGAUGGCCUCUACUUGUAAGCUAUCGCUUUGCGAUGGGUCUGCGUCUGAUUAGCUAGUUGGCGGGGUAACGGCCCACCAAGGCGACGAUCAGUAGGGGUUCUGAGAGGAAGGUCCCCCACAUUGGAACUGAGACACGGUCCAAACUCCUACGGGAGGCAGCAGUGAGGAAUAUUGGUCAAUGGGCGAGAGCCUGAACCAGCCAAGUAGCGUGCAGGACGACGGCCCUAUGGGUUGUAAACUGCUUUUAUAAGGGAAUAAAGUGAGUCUCGUGAGACUUUUUGCAUGUACCUUAUGAAUAAGGACCGGCUAAUUCCGUG
Molecule: ribosomal RNA, 502 nt
Filed under: uncultured bacterium
Lineage: Bacteria
Description: bacterial SSU rRNA
Rfam family: Bacterial small subunit ribosomal RNA
Source: RNAcentral